RNAcentral lists this ribosomal RNA (497 nucleotides) under uncultured bacterium. RNAcentral's name for it is "partial 16S ribosomal RNA". It matches the Rfam family "Bacterial small subunit ribosomal RNA", at positions 28 to 507 of the family's 1533-position model. The record is from RNAcentral.
GAUGAACGCUGGCGGCGUGCCUAAUACAUGCAAGUCGAGCGAACAGAUAAGGAGCUUGCUCCUUUGACGUUAGCGGCGGACGGGUGAGUUACACGUGGAUAACCUACCUAUAAGACUGGGAUAACUUCGGGAAACCGGAGCUAAUGCCGGAUAACAUAUUGAACCGCAUGGUUCAAUAGUGAAAGGCGGCUUUGCUGUCACUUAUAGAUGGAUCCGCGCCGUAUUAGCUAGUUGGUAAGGUAACGGCUUACCAAGGCAACGAUACGUAGCCGACCUGAGAGGGUGAUCGGCCACACUGGAACUGAGACACGGUCCAGACUCCUACGGGAGGCAGCAGUAGGGAAUCUUCCGCAGUGGGCGAAAGCCUGACGGAGCAACGCCGCGUGAGUGAUGAAGGUCUUCGGAUCGUAAAACUCUGUUAUCAGGGAAGAACAAAUGUGUAAGUAACUGUGCACAUCUUGACGGUACCUGAUCAGAAAGCCACGGCUAACUACGUG